ACUGGAUUGUUGGCCCCGCCGCCACCCUCCUGACUGCCGCACGGCCACGCCAACGAGCCGUAUGGCGAUCAGGCGGCCGCGCCCGCCGAGACGGUGGGAGCCGGAGAGGCCCCGCCACCGCCGCCCUCCCCGCGAGCCGCACGGAUUUCAGGCAGCAGCGCGGCAGUAGGAGGCUCCCGGCGUGGCGUCGGCGGCUAGGGAUGUCGGAGGAGUCCGAGCGGGAGGAGGUGUUGGAGAGGAGAGAGGGGAGAAGAUGCAGCAGCUACUGGAUUGUUGGCCCCGCCGCCGCCCUCCUGACUGCCGCACG
Molecule: unclassified non-coding RNA, 307 nt
Filed under: Zea mays
Lineage: Eukaryota; Viridiplantae; Streptophyta; Magnoliopsida; Poales; Poaceae
Description: misc RNA Zm00001eb102390
Source: RNAcentral